Nylanderia fulva is the source of this 1912-nucleotide long non-coding RNA. RefSeq lists it as uncharacterized. The record is from RefSeq and is a predicted model, not a curated record. Lineage: Eukaryota; Metazoa; Arthropoda; Insecta; Hymenoptera; Formicidae.
CGGAGCCGCCGAUCGCUACCAAGCAAUAAGAGUUUGUCAAUUUUGAGAAAACGCCAAUCUCGUUAUUAUUUUCGAAUUGUACACGAACUGCCAUGAUUGCGAUCGCACAGUUAUUACAUCAGCGUGAGCAACAAGAGUUAAAAUCUCGGGGAACGGUUUGUGUUCGGUAAAUUUGUAACACGCUAACCUCGAAAAUUUUCAAGUGCCGCUACUUUCUGUCGCGGAGCACGAGGGCGCGGAGUGAAGUACGCGCUCGAAACAAUCGAUUCUCGCGCGAGAUACACAAUUCGAGAGUAUCGAGAAUGACGUGGCGCGCGACUAUCCGCCAUUACGCGAUAAGCUAUCGAUGGGUACAGUGCAUCUCCAAUUUUACGAUUUCUGUGUUCUUGGAAAAAUUGUGAUUUUUUUGUGAUUUUACCCUGCAUAUCGUCUCCAUUGCGCUGGGAUUUUGUCAUCGAUCUGGCAGAGUCGGAUUCUGGAGAUCUCCUUUCAUCGAUCAGGUACAUACUUAAUAAUUCGUGCAACUGGAUGGAAUAAAACAGCAGAAUAAAUAAACAUACAAGGAGGAAGGUGCGGAAAGUCUUGAUUCAGAGUGCAAGUUCAGCUACGGUCAUCCCGGGCAUCGUAGCGCGCAAUAAUUCACUCUUGGUCGUGCGGCAGCCUCUGGAAAUGGAGUCACCGCCUAUCCCCUACUCUCGACGUCGAGAGGGUAGGUAGGGAUCUCGCCCGGCUUAAACGGGUUUGCGUAUCCUCGAUGAGGGGUAAAUUAAGUUAUGGCGCGAAAACAACCUCCCCGACCGAGCUCGCUCUCGCCUCGCCGAUCUGCGAUAAAUAUGUAUAUAUACGCGUUUUAUGUCAUCGGAGGUAUCCUAUGUCACGUGGAGUGACGAAAUGUCUAGAAGGGAGGGACGCGGUUGACCGGCAGAAUAUUCCGGACUGUUGAUGAACGACUUCUCGUGAAUAAAAAUUUUCCUCUCGCGCGGCAUUUUUUUUCUCCCGGCGUGCUCCCUCGUUUUUUCACCUCGCUCUCUCACCCUCUGGCCGCCGUCGCCUGGAUGCGCAGAACGCGUCCAGGAUUUAACGCAGAUUAAUCUGUUUGUUGAUCCGGACUCUUCUACCCCAUCCUCUUCUUCCCCUGGUUCUUUCCCUUUCCCUCUCUCUCUCUCGCGCGCGCGCGCGCGCGUUCUCGUUUCUCCACCGAUUUAGCGGACUCCAGCGAGUGACGGCUGGCAUUUCAUCAUAUAUUCCGCUUGGUGGACGAGGCAUCCCCGUCUGCUCUCUUUUUCCGUUCUUUUUAACUCUGCAGCAUCAUUUGCUCGCAUUUCUCUCGGGCAAUGAUGAAGAACGACAGGUUUGAGCGGGAUAAACGAAAUUUCGUCGGUUGUAUCGUUAACGUAAGAGAAUCUUGCGAAUAAUCAAAUGCGAAAAGGGAAAAAUGUCAGCCGGAAUUUUUUCAUUUCUAACGCGAACGGUUCGAUAACUCGACACGUGAAAACAAAGGGGACCUUUGUGAAAGGAGGAACCUGAAGAAUUGAUUAUCGCGUGGCCGAUGACGUGACGAGGGCGGAGCCACACAAUUAACAUCAAAAGUUCGCCUAUCGCCACUUAAUGAUCAGCCAGCAGCGUGGAACAAUUCUACCGAAUUUGUCAGAAUUUCCGUAGGGUUGAUGGGUCGAUCCUCUGGUGAAUGAAGAUGAUGAUUUUCAAUCAUUUAUCGGACAGCGCCGAUCGCGAAUAAUUUAUGAUCAAGUGCCUCCUUCUUGUCAUACUUAAUUUAAUAUUUUUUAAAUGACAGAUUGACAAGAGGGAAGAAUAGAGGAACGACGGUACUAGAAUGAAAAUUCGCCCAAUAAUUGUAAAUAGCGUAAUCAGUGAAUUAGAUAAAACCUAUAAAAAUUUUAAUAAUUUUGAA